This 253-nucleotide ribosomal RNA is filed under the name uncultured bacterium. RNAcentral's name for it is "partial 16S ribosomal RNA". It matches the Rfam family "Bacterial small subunit ribosomal RNA", at positions 524 to 776 of the family's 1533-position model. The record is from RNAcentral.
UACAGAGGGUGCAAGCGUUAAUCGGAAUUACUGGGCGUAAAGCGCACGUAGGCGGUUUUUUAAGUCAGAUGUGAAAGCCCCGGGCUCAACCUGGGAAUUGCAUUUGAAACUGGGAAACUAGAGUUUGUGAGAGGGGGGUAGAAUUCCAAGUGUAGCGGUGAAAUGCGUAGAGAUUUGGAGGAAUACCAGUGGCGAAGGCGGCCCCCUGGCACAACACUGACGCUCAGGUGCGAAAGCGUGGGGAGCAAACAGG